GUACACUCCUGCGGGAGGCAGCAGUGGGGAAUAUUGCACAAUGGGCGCAAGCCUGAUGCAGCCAUGCCGCGUGUAUGAAGAAGGCCUUCGGGUUGUAAAGUACUUUCAGCGGGGAGGAAGGCGAUAAGGUUAAUAACCUUGUUGAUUGACGUUACCCGCAGAAGAAGCACCGGCUAACUCCGUGCCAGCAGCCGCGGUAAUACGGAGGGUGCAAGCGUUAAUCGGAAUUACUGGGCGUAAAGCGCACGCAGGCGGUCUGUCAAGUCGGAUGUGAAAUCCCCGGGCUCAACCUGGGAACUGCAUUCGAAACUGGCAGGCUAGAGUCUUGUAGAGGGGGGUAGAAUUCCAGGUGUAGCGGUGAAAUGCGUAGAGAUCUGGAGGAAUACCGGUGGCGAAGGCGGCCCCCUGGACAAAGACUGACGCUCAGGUGCGAAAGCGUGGGGAGCAAACAGGAUUAGAAACCCUAGUAGUCCCA
RNAcentral lists this ribosomal RNA (475 nucleotides) under uncultured organism. Its description in RNAcentral is "partial 16S ribosomal RNA". It matches the Rfam family "Bacterial small subunit ribosomal RNA", at positions 331 to 797 of the family's 1533-position model. The record is from RNAcentral.